AGAGUUUGAUCCUGGCUCAGAUUGAACGCUGGCGGCGUGCCUAACACAUGCAAGUCGAGCGGUAACAGGCGUAGCAAUACGUGCUGACGAGCGGCGAACGGGUGAGUAACGCUUCGGAAUCUGCCCAAUGGUGGGGAAUAACCAGCCGAAAGGUUGGCUAAUACCGCAUGAGCCCUACGGGGGAAAGCGGGGGAUCGCAAGACCUCGCGCCGAUGGAUGAGCCGAAGCCGGAUUAGCUAGUUGGUAGGGUAACGGCCUACCAAGGCGACGAUCCGUAGCUGGUCUGAGAGGACGACCAGCCACACUGGGACUGAGACACGGCCCAGACUCCUACGGGAGGCAGCAGUGGGGAAUAUUGGACAAUGGGGGAAACCCUGAUCCAGCGACGCCGCGUGUGUGAAGAAGGCCUGCGGGUUGUAAAGCACUUUUAGUGGGGAUGAAAAGCUCAGGGCUAACACCUCUGGGUCUUGACCUAACCCACAGAAAAAGCACCGGCUAACUCUGUGCCAGCAGCCGCGGUAAUACAGAGGGUGCAAGCGUUAAUCGGAAUUACUGGGCGUAAAGCGUACGUAGACGGUUGGAUAAGUCGGAUGUGAAAGCCCCGGGCUCAACCUGGGAAUGGCAUUCGAGACUGUGCAGCUAGGGUGCGGAAGAGGGAAGCGGAAUUUCCGGUGUAGCGGUGAAAUGCGUAGAUAUCGGAAGGAACACCAGUGGCGAAAGCGGCUUCCUGGUCCAGCACCGACGUUCAGGUACGAAAGCAUGGGGAGCAAACAGGAUUAGAUACCCUAGUAGUCC
RNAcentral lists this ribosomal RNA (795 nucleotides) under uncultured bacterium. RNAcentral's name for it is "bacterial SSU rRNA". It matches the Rfam family "Bacterial small subunit ribosomal RNA", at positions 8 to 796 of the family's 1533-position model. The record is from RNAcentral.